AUUGAACGCUGGCGGAAUGCUUUACACAUGCAAGUCGAACGGCAGCACGGGGCAACCUGGUGGCGAGUGGCGAACGGGUGAGUAAUACAUCGGAACGUGCCCAAUCGUGGGGGUAACGUAGCGAAAGUUACGCUAAUACCGCAUACGAUCUACGGAUGAAAGCGGGGGAUCGCAAGACCUCGCGCGAGUGGAGCGGCCGAUGUCAGAUUAGGUAGUUGGUGGGGUAAAGGCUCACCAAGCCAACGAUCUGUAGCUGGUCUGAGAGGACGACCAGCCACACUGGAACUGAGACACGGUCCAGACUCCUACGGGAGGCAGCAGUGGGGAAUUUUGGACAAUGGGCGCAAGCCUGAUCCAGCAAUGCCGCGUGCAGGAUGAAGGCCUUCGGUUGUAACUAGCUUUGUACGGUAACGAAACGGUAGAGCUCUAAUAAAGACUUGCUAAUGACGGUACCGUAAGAAUAAGACACCGGCUAACUACGUGCCAGCAGCCGCGGU
RNAcentral lists this ribosomal RNA (497 nucleotides) under uncultured bacterium. RNAcentral's name for it is "bacterial SSU rRNA". It matches the Rfam family "Bacterial small subunit ribosomal RNA", at positions 30 to 521 of the family's 1533-position model. The record is from RNAcentral.